Molecule: ribosomal RNA, 297 nt
Filed under: Huralvioides sp. n. RPDR-2013
Lineage: Eukaryota; Metazoa; Arthropoda; Arachnida; Opiliones; Gonyleptidae
Description: partial 16S ribosomal RNA
Source: RNAcentral
GCAUAAUCAUUAGUUCAUUAAUUGUGGACUGGAAUGAAAGGGUAUAACUGAGGGGGAUGUUUUAUUUAAUUAAUUUGAAAUUGAAUUGGAAAUUAAAAUGUUUUUAUGAAACCCUGGGACGAGAAGACCCUAAAAGCUUUAUAUAGGGUUAAUUAAUUAGGUUAAAGGUUUAUAUUUAAUUGGGGUAAUUUAUCUGAAGAUAGGAUUUUUAAGAGUGAAGGUUUAAAAUUUAAGUUACUUUAGGGAUAACAGCGUUAUUUAAUUUGCGAGUUCUUAUUAAUAAUUAAUAUUGCGACC